AACGAACGCUGGCGGCAUGCCUAACACACGCAAGUCGAACGAGAUCUUCGGGUCUAGUGGCGCACGGGUGCGUAACGCGUGGGAAUCUGCCCUUUGGUUCGGAAUAACAGUUGGAAACGACUGCUAAUACCGGAUGAUGACGAAAGUCCAAAGAUUUAUCGCCAGAGGAUGAGCCCGCGUAGGAUUAGCUAGUUGGUGUGGUAAAGGCGCACCAAGGCGACGAUCCUUAGCUGGUCUGAGAGGAUGAUCAGCCACACUGGGACUGAGACACGGCCCAGACUCCUACGGGAGGCAGCAGUGGGGAAUAUUGGACAAUGGGCGAAAGCCUGAUCCAGCAAUGCCGCGUGAGUGAUGAAGGCCUUAGGGUUGUAAAGCUCUUUUACCCGGGAUGAUAAUGACAGUACAUGGAGAAUAAGCUCCGGCUAACUCCGUGCCAGCCGCCGCGGUAA
This 449-nucleotide ribosomal RNA is filed under the name uncultured bacterium. Its description in RNAcentral is "partial 16S ribosomal RNA". It matches the Rfam family "Bacterial small subunit ribosomal RNA", at positions 29 to 523 of the family's 1533-position model. The record is from RNAcentral.